AAUCAACGCUGGCGGCGUGCCUCAGACAUGCAAGUCGAACGCGAAAGUUCCCUUCGGGGGAUAAGUAGAGUGGCGUCCGGGUGAGUAACACGUAGGUAAUCUACCUUUGGGUGGGGAAUAACAACCGGAAACGGUUGCUAAUACCGCAUAAUGCAGCGGCACCACAUGGUGACAGUUGUUAAAGCGGGGGAUCGCAAGACCUCGCGCCUAAAGAGGAGCCUGCGGCGGAUUAGCUAGUUGGA
RNAcentral lists this ribosomal RNA (242 nucleotides) under uncultured bacterium. Its description in RNAcentral is "partial 16S ribosomal RNA". It matches the Rfam family "Bacterial small subunit ribosomal RNA", at positions 32 to 253 of the family's 1533-position model. The record is from RNAcentral.